CUUCAGAGAAAGUGUGACAGAACUCAAAAGUUAAGGCACUCACCUACCUGUUCAAGUAUAUAUCAACAGAACCUUAACUGACCAAAUUGUAUCAAUGUUUGCUUAGUCAUAAUUCCUCCAGUGAGUGCGGACAUUCAAUAAUUUAUCUGCAUCAUUUAUAAUAGGUCCAAUGUUUUCAACCAUAAAAACUGUCGAAGACUAUCAUCAUUAGAAGGUCAGGAGAUCAGCUAACCAAUGCCUUGAACUGAUUCAUAUUUCAAAAUGAUAAAUUACUCAGAGGUGGAAACAGACUUGGUCUGCAAUAUCUCAGUCAAAUGCUGAAAGCUCCAUUUAAAAAGAUAUGGAAUUAGCAUGAUCCCUUGCAGGGCUACCUUUAGAGAUUGGGAAAGUGCCAUUUUAAAUGUGACAUGAUACAAUUUACCUUUGAUCUUAUACUGCUACUCUGUACAGUAAUAAACCUAGAUUAAUCACUGCUCUGGCUUGUCUUCUACAAUGGAGGGUUCCAA
Molecule: long non-coding RNA, 506 nt
Organism: Haliotis rubra (blacklip abalone)
Lineage: Eukaryota; Metazoa; Mollusca; Gastropoda; Lepetellida; Haliotidae
Exons: 3
Source: RefSeq, a predicted model, not a curated record